Molecule: long non-coding RNA, 619 nt
Organism: Helianthus annuus (common sunflower)
Lineage: Eukaryota; Viridiplantae; Streptophyta; Magnoliopsida; Asterales; Asteraceae
Exons: 4
Source: RefSeq, a predicted model, not a curated record
UGAAGACAUCACAUGGGGGAUGAACUUGAAAAACUCUAGUAUUUUUCUCUCUAAAAAAUCGGCUCACAUGGGUGGUCCAUUAGGGAAUUUCAAGAUCAUUUUUCAAGUGCAAGAACUCUCUAAAAUGUUCUAUAAUUUUCGGCAAUGUAUGGUUGAUUAUGAGGGAUUUUUCAAGUGAGUUCAUGAGUAUAAAAUCCUAGCUAAAUCAAAGUGUUUGUUGGAAGGCUUGGGGUAUAUAAGCUUGAGGUCUUCUACACUUGAAGGCAACCAUUCAAGAAGCAUCACCUUCUUCAUAUCCUUUACUCCUUGGAAGGAACGUGUUAAGCAAAGGAUGAACCAAUAUGGUCAGCAAGUCAGGUCGGAGAUGAAGUUUUCCUCAAAAGCAUUCUAAACUCUACCGAGACUGUAGCAAGAGGAAGGGUCCAGAGCUUGGACCCAAAUGAUCUAGUUGGUGGUACAAAGAUUGGACCAGAAUGGUGUGAGGUAGUCCAUGAGGAUUGAGGACGCAUAAUGACUCAAGAUUUUUUCUUCUUGUUUCUUAAUUGCUUUUAAUUUUUUUGUUAAAUGUCAAGACUUUAUGUUAUAUAAUGUUAUAACUUAUUUAUGAUUAGUGUUUUUG